Molecule: ribosomal RNA, 220 nt
Filed under: Candidatus Bathyarchaeota archaeon
Lineage: Archaea; Thermoproteati; Candidatus Bathyarchaeota
Description: partial 23S ribosomal RNA
Rfam family: Archaeal large subunit ribosomal RNA
Source: RNAcentral
CGUCUGGUGGAUGGCUCGGCUUGAGCGCUGAGGAAGGGCGCGGCAAGCCGCGAAAGAGCCCCGGGUAGGCGCAUGCAGCCGUAGAUCCGGGGAUUCCUGAAUGGGACUUCCUACCGCGGUUCUUCGGAACCGUGGUGCUCCCGGCAGGGAGCGGGAACCCCCCGAACGGAAGCAUCUUAGUAGGGGGAGGAAAAGAAACCAACUGGGAUUCCCUUAGUAG